GUACCUACGGGACGCAGCAGUGAGGAAUAUUGGUCAAUGGCCGAGAGGCUGAACCAGCCAAGUCGCGUGAGGGAUGACGGCCCUACGGGUUGUAAACCUCUUUUGUCGGAGAGCAAGACCCGCCUCGUGCAGGCGAAGCGAGAGUACCCGAAGAAAAAGCAUCGGCUAACUCCGUGCCAGCAGCCGCGGUAAUACGUAGGUGGCGAGCGUUAUCCGGAAUGAUUGGGCGUAAAGGGUGCGUAGGCGGCCUGCUAAGUCUGGAGUGAAAGGUACCGGCUCAACCGGUACAGGCUCUGGAAACUGGG
This 305-nucleotide ribosomal RNA is filed under the name uncultured bacterium. RNAcentral describes it as "bacterial SSU rRNA". It matches the Rfam family "Bacterial small subunit ribosomal RNA", at positions 333 to 637 of the family's 1533-position model. The record is from RNAcentral.